AGAGUUUGAUCCUGGCUCAGGACGAACGCUGACGGUGUGCUUUAGGCAUGCAAGUCGAACGAGAAAGCCCUUCGGGGUGAGUAAAGUGGCGAACGGGUGAGUAACACGUGGGCAACCUGCCCCUCGCAGGGGGACAACCGGAGGAAACUCCGGCUAAUACCCCGUACGCUUGUUGGGUCGCAUGGCUCGGCAAGGAAAGGUAGCUUCGGCCAUCCGGCGAGGGAUGGGCCCGCGUUGCAUUAGCUAGUUGGUGGGGUAACGGCCCACCAAGGCGACGAUGCGUAGCUGGUCUGAGAGGAUGAUCAGCCACACUGGGACUGAGACACGGCCCAGACUCCUACGGGAGGCAGCAGCCAGGAAUCUUGGGCAAUGGGCGAAAGCCUGACCCAGCAACACCGUGUGGGCGACGAAGGCCUUAGGGUCGUAAAGCCCUGUUGAUAGGGACGAAGGGCGAAGGGUUAAUAGCCCCUAGCUUGACGGUACCUUUCGAGGAAGCCCCGGCUAACUACGUGCCAGCAGCCGCGGUAAUACGUAGGGGGCGAGCGUUGUCCGGAAUUAUUGGGCGUAAAGAGCGUGUAGGCGGUUCGGUAAGUCUGCUGUGAAAUCCUGGGGCUCAACCCUGGGCGUGCAGCGGAUACUGCCGGGCUAGAGGAUGGUAGAGGCGAGUGGAAUUCCGAGUGUAGCGGUGAAAUGCGCAGAUAUUCGGAGGAACACCAGUAGCGAAGGCGGCUCGCUGGGCCAUUCCUGACGCUGAGACGCGAAAGCGUGGGGAGCGAACAGGAUUAGAUACCCUAGUAGUCC
This 801-nucleotide ribosomal RNA is filed under the name uncultured bacterium. RNAcentral's name for it is "bacterial SSU rRNA". It matches the Rfam family "Bacterial small subunit ribosomal RNA", at positions 8 to 796 of the family's 1533-position model. The record is from RNAcentral.